Molecule: unclassified non-coding RNA, 281 nt
Filed under: uncultured fungus
Lineage: Eukaryota; Fungi
Description: partial contains 5.8S ribosomal RNA, internal transcribed spacer 2, and large subunit ribosomal RNA
Source: RNAcentral
AACGCACAUUGCGCCUCUCGGUAUUCCGGGAGGCACGCCUGUUCGAGCGCCAUUACGAACCCCAAGCUUGGCUUGAUGUUGGGCGAUGUCUUUUCUCUCUGAAGGGAGACACGCCUGGAACGCGUUGACGCCGCCGGCGGACCACGAGCGUAGCAGUGACGAAAGUCGAUCGCAUCGAUGGAAACCGACGGAGGGCAGUCUUGACGUUUGUCGUCUACGGACGACGGACACACACACACGAGUUUGGCCUCGGAUCAGGCGGGGAUACCCGCUGAACUUAA